This is a long non-coding RNA of Anopheles stephensi (Asian malaria mosquito), 227 nucleotides long. RefSeq lists it as uncharacterized. The record is from RefSeq and is a predicted model, not a curated record. NCBI's taxonomy places the organism in Eukaryota, Metazoa, Arthropoda, Insecta, Diptera, Culicidae. The transcript has 2 exons.
CUUUCUUUCGUGCAUUCGGUAACUGAAUGGAGCGGAGCGUGUGUUUUGUGUUGAUGUUGUUAUGACUUUCUGUCUCAAAUUGCACAUGAGAAACUCGGCAGGCAAAUCUGUUGAAUGAGCAAUUUCCUACCCCUCAAAAAGGUUUGACAUAUGUCAUUCGCAACUUGUCUAACCCAGGUUUAAUUCCGCCAAUGUUCUUUGUUAUAUAAAGACGUGCUUUAACUGAA